GAUGAAGAACGUAGCGAAAUGCGAUAAGUAAUGUGAAUUGCAGAAUUCAGUGAAUCAUCGAAUCUUUGAACGCACAUUGCGCCCCUUGGUAUUCCGAGGGGCAUGCCUGUUCGAGCGUCAUUAUAACCCCUCAAGCUCAGCUUGGUGUUGGGGCCUGCUGCACUGGCAGCCCUUAAAAUCAGUGGCGGCGCCAUCUGGCUCUAAGCGUAGUAAUUCUUCUCGGUAUGGAGUCCUGGUGGAUGCUUGCCAUCAACCCCCAAUUUUUCUAUGGUUGACCUCGGAUCAGGUAGGGAUACCCGCUGAACUUAAGCAUAUCAAUAAGCGGAGGA
RNAcentral lists this unclassified non-coding RNA (329 nucleotides) under soil metagenome. Its description in RNAcentral is "partial contains 5.8S ribosomal RNA, internal transcribed spacer 2, and large subunit ribosomal RNA". The stretch from base 1 to 120 matches the Rfam family "5.8S ribosomal RNA", at positions 35 to 154 of the family's 154-position model. The record is from RNAcentral.